AGUAGAGUGAGCCACCACAGUUUAUAUUUAGAUCUGAAAACCAUAAAACUACUAAACCCAAAAACAACUAUAAAUCUCACAGAUCAAACAUCCCCAGCAAUAAAAUCAUGAAAUAUAUUUUAACACCAUCAACAAGAACAAAAAUCUCAAUAGCAUUAUGAUUUUUUCUCUCAUAAACUAAAUGUGUCUUCUCCCUCUUUCAUUUUGUUGAACACCCAUGACAAAUCAGAUGGUGGUUCAAGCACACGUGGGAAGAGGAUAUAUGAUUCUGAAUUCAUCGAAUCCUUAUGUGGAAAAUCAGAAGGCAAAGAAAUGGAUAGACACCUGGGAAGACGAUAUAUGAUUCUAUGUUUAUUAAUUUCUUCUGUUGAAAUGAAAAAUUGAAGUAAAAAUGGGGGCAACGAGUAGAUUUUUAUUACCUUAAUUUAUUUUUGUUGCAAAUCUCUAGUUUUUACAUUUGAAAAUCAAGUUUUUAGUUUUGUGGGUUGUGUUGUUAAUGGUCUGACUCUGAUCUCCCUCCCAAGCUGUUGUGCGUCAGCCCCAUAGUCUUAUUUCAAUUGUGAGAACCUUACUGUAUUUUGAGGUA
Molecule: long non-coding RNA, 586 nt
Organism: Papaver somniferum (opium poppy)
Lineage: Eukaryota; Viridiplantae; Streptophyta; Magnoliopsida; Ranunculales; Papaveraceae
Exons: 2
Source: RefSeq, a predicted model, not a curated record